Molecule: ribosomal RNA, 504 nt
Filed under: uncultured bacterium
Lineage: Bacteria
Description: bacterial SSU rRNA
Rfam family: Bacterial small subunit ribosomal RNA
Source: RNAcentral
AAUAAACGCUGGCGGCGUGCCUAACACAUGCAAGUCGAGCGAGAAAGCUCCUUCGGGAGUUAGUAAAGCGGCGAACGGGUGAGCAACACGUGAGAAUCUACCCUUUAGUGAAGAAUACCCUCGAGAAAUCGAGGCUAAUACUGCAUACGUCCCUUCGGGGAGAAAGAUGGCCUCUUUGCUAUCGCUAAAGGAUGAGCUUGCGUACUAUUAGCUAGUUGGCGGGGUAAAGGCCCACCAAGGCAAUGAUGGUUAACCGGCCUGAGAGGGUGUACGGUCACACUGGAACUUAGACACGGUCCAGACUCCUACGGGAGGCAGCAGUGAGGAAUCUUGCGCAAUGGGCGAAAGCCUGACGCAGCGACGCCGCGUGGAGGAUGACGGUUUUCGGAUUGUAAACUCCUGUUAAGCGGGAAGAAAGCCUUGUUUCUAAUACAAGCAAGGUAUGACGGUACCGCUAGAGAAAGCACCGGCUAACUUCGUGCCAGCAGCCGCGGUAAUGUGACG